This 397-nucleotide ribosomal RNA is filed under the name uncultured bacterium. RNAcentral describes it as "bacterial SSU rRNA". It matches the Rfam family "Bacterial small subunit ribosomal RNA", at positions 29 to 409 of the family's 1533-position model. The record is from RNAcentral.
AACGAACGCUGGCGGCGUGGAUAAGACAUGCAAGUCGAACGGGAACUUCAGCUGUAGCAAUACAGUUGAAGUUUUAGUGGCGAACGGGUGCGUAACACGUGGGCAAUCUGCCGAGAAGUGGGGGAUAGCUCGCCGAAAGGCGAAUUAAUACCGCAUAUGAUCAGCUAAGACAUCUUAGCGACAUCAAAGCCGGGGCAACCUGGCGCUUUUUGAGGAGCCCGCGGCCUAUCAGCUAGUUGGUGAGGUAACGGCUCACCAAGGCUAUGACGGGUAGCUGGUCUGAGAGGACGACCAGUCACACUGGAACUGAGACACGGUCCAGACACCUACGGGUGGCAGCAGUCGAGUAAUUUUUCUCAAUGGGGCAACCCUGAAGGAGCGACGCCGCGUGGAGGAU